This 497-nucleotide ribosomal RNA is filed under the name uncultured bacterium. Its description in RNAcentral is "partial 16S ribosomal RNA". It matches the Rfam family "Bacterial small subunit ribosomal RNA", at positions 28 to 507 of the family's 1533-position model. The record is from RNAcentral.
GAUGAACGCUGGCGGCGUGCCUAAUACAUGCAAGUCGAGCGAACAGACGAGGAGCUUGCUCCUCUGACGUUAGCGGCGGACGGGUGAGUAACACGUGGAUCACCUACCUAUCAGACUGGGAUAACUUCGGGACACCGGAGCUAAUACCGGAUAAUAUCUUGCACCGCAUUGUUCAAUAGUGAAAUACGGCUUUGCUGUCACUUAUAGCUGGAUCCGCGCCGCAUUAGCUAGUUGGUAAGGUAACGGCUUACCAAGGCAACGAUGCGUAGCCGACCUGAGAGGCGGAUCGCCCACCUGGGAGGGUGGACACGGUCCAGAGUACUAAGAGAGGCAGCAGUAGGGAAUCGGACGCAGCGGGCGAAAGUCUGACGGAGCAACGCCGCGUGAGUGAUGAAGGUCUUCGGAUCGUAAUACUCUGUUAUUAGGGAAGAACAAAUGUGUAAGUUACCAUGCACGUCGUGACGGUACCGAAUCAGAAAGCCACGGCUAACUACGUG